This 429-nucleotide ribosomal RNA is filed under the name Acidobacteriota bacterium. RNAcentral describes it as "Acidobacteria bacterium partial 16S ribosomal RNA". It matches the Rfam family "Bacterial small subunit ribosomal RNA", at positions 355 to 776 of the family's 1533-position model. Lineage: Bacteria; Pseudomonadati; Acidobacteriota. The record is from RNAcentral.
UGGGGAAUUUUGGACAAUGGGGGAAACCCUGAUCCAGCCAUCCCGCGUGUGCGAUGAAGGCCUUCGGGUUGUAAAGCACUUUUGGCAGGAAAGAAACGUCAUGGGUUAAUACCCCGUGAAACUGACGGUACCUGCAGAAUAAGCACCGGCUAACUACGUGCCAGCAGCCGCGGUAAUACGUAGGGUGCAAGCGUUAAUCGGAAUUACUGGGCGUAAAGCGUGCGCAGGCGGUUCGGAAAGAAAGUUGUGAAAUCCCGGAGCUCAACUUUGGAACUGCAUUUUUAACUACCGGGCUAGAGUGUGUCAGGGGGAGGUGGAAUUCCGCGUGUAGCAGUGAAAUGCGUAGAUAUGCGGAGGAACACCGAUGGCGGAGGCAGCCUCCUGGGAUAACACUGACGCUCAUGCACGAAAGCGUGGGGAGCAAACAGG